UACGUAGGGCGCAAGCGUUAUCCGGAAUUAUUGGGCGUAAAGAGCUCGUAGGCGGUUUGUCGCGUCUGCCGUGAAAGUCCGGGGCUCAACUCCGGAUCUGCGGUGGGUACGGGCAGACUAGAGUGAUGUAGGGGAGACUGGAAUUCCUGGUGUAGCGGUGAAAUGCGCAGAUAUCAGGAGGAACACCGAUGGCGAAGGCAGGUCUCUGGGCAUUAACUGACGCUGAGGAGCGAAAGCACGGGGAGCGAACAGG
Molecule: ribosomal RNA, 253 nt
Filed under: uncultured bacterium
Lineage: Bacteria
Description: partial 16S ribosomal RNA
Rfam family: Bacterial small subunit ribosomal RNA
Source: RNAcentral